This 873-nucleotide ribosomal RNA is filed under the name Gallowayella hasseana. Its description in RNAcentral is "Xanthomendoza hasseana partial large subunit ribosomal RNA". It matches the Rfam family "Bacterial large subunit ribosomal RNA", at positions 863 to 1689 of the family's 2925-position model. Lineage: Eukaryota; Fungi; Ascomycota; Lecanoromycetes; Teloschistales; Teloschistaceae. The record is from RNAcentral.
UAAGCGCGUCACUUUGUGUGAGCGACAUAUCAUUGCAGGUAUAGAAUUGUGAUCUCAGACAAGUUAUGAUUUAUAUCAUUUUGUAUACAUUGGGGGAUCGUGAAGAUUUUAUCAGUGAGAAUUUGCUCUCAGAAGGGCAAUGAUAAAUUUUAAACUAUCGGACAUAGUACGAUAAGGUUGUAUGUCUAAAGGGAAACAGCCCAGAACAAGAGUUAAAGGUUCCAAAAUUAUUGUUAAGUGAAAAAAAAGGAAGUAUUUUUCUAAUACAACCAGGAAAUAGGCUUAGAAGCGGCCAUUUUUUUAAGACCUCGUAACAGAGCACUGGUUUAAUUUUCUUUGGAAGCGCAAGCUUUUAAGAAAAACAGUUAAAAGCAUCAAAAAUUUAACGGAUCUAAACAAUAUACCUAAACCUUGUCCAUAAACAAUUGUUUGUGGGGUAGCAGAACAUUGGGUAAAUCUUAGAUUUAAUUUUUUCAAAAUUAGUUAAGCUUACAUCUAAUACAAAAGAUUACACGCUCACUUCAUUUUUUUUUUCUUGCAAAGCAUGAAAAAAAGACAAAGUCUGUGAAGCGUUUGAUUUAAUAGAUGAUUUAAGUGAGAUUACCCCAAGAGAUAAUGCUGACAUGAGUAACGAAAAAGGGACAUCCCCUCGCCUUAAGCUUAUGGUAUUUAAUUUAAAGUAACGGCCUCUAAGUUUAUUUAAACGACCUAAAGGAUUAAAUGAUGAGAAAAUCUUUAAGUAUAUCUAACAACAUUCCAAAAAAAGUUAAUGUAUUAACCUUUUGGUUAAGGAAUGUUCUGGAAAAAGAUAUAUAUGUUAUUAACCGUACCUAAAUACUACCACAAGUAAGCAAGUAGAGUAUACAAAGGCGU